This 465-nucleotide ribosomal RNA is filed under the name uncultured Dialister sp. RNAcentral describes it as "bacterial SSU rRNA". It matches the Rfam family "Bacterial small subunit ribosomal RNA", at positions 338 to 795 of the family's 1533-position model. The record is from RNAcentral. Lineage: Bacteria; Bacillati; Bacillota; Negativicutes; Veillonellales; Veillonellaceae.
CCUACGGGGGGCUGCAGUGGGGAAUCUUCCGCAAUGGGCGAAAGCCUGACGGAGCAACGCCGCGUGAGUGAUGACGGCCUUCGGGUUGUAAAACUCUGUGAUCCGGGACGAAAAGGCAGAGUGCGAAGAACAAACUGCAUUGACGGUACCGGAAAAGCAAGCCACGGCUAACUACGUGCCAGCAGCCGCGGUAAUACGUAGGUGGCAAGCGUUGUCCGGAAUUAUUGGGCGUAAAGCGCGCGCAGGCGGCUUCCCAAGUCCCUCUUAAAAGUGCGGGGCUUAACCCCGUGAUGGGAAGGAAACUGGGAAGCUGGAGUAUCGGAGAGGAAAGUGGAAUUCCUAGUGUAGCGGUGAAAUGCGUAGAGAUUAGGAAGAACACCGGUGGCGAAGGCGACUUUCUGGACGAAAACUGACGCUGAGGCGCGAAAGCGUGGGGAGCAAACAGGAUUAGAUACCCUGGUAGUC